CAGCGAAGUGGUCACAAAGGGAAGUGGUAGGUCAGGGAAGUAGUAGGUCAGGGAAGUGGUCACAAAGGGAAGUGGUAGGUCAGGGAAGUGGUAGGUCAGGGAAGUGGUCACAAAGGGAAGUGGUAGGUCAGGGAAGUAGUAGAUCAGGGAAGUAGUCACAAAGGGAAGUGGUAGGUCAGGGAAGUGGUAGGUCAGGGAAGUGGUAGGUCAGGGAAGUGGUCACAAAGGGAAGUGGUAGGUCAGGGAAGUGGUCACAAAGGGAAGUGGUAGGUCAGGGAAGUAGUAGGUCAGGGAAGUGGUCACAAAGGGAAGUGGUAGGUCAGGGAAGUGGUAGGUCAGCGAAGUGGUCACAAAGGGAAGUGGUAGGUCAGGGAAGUGGUCACAAAGGGAAGUGGUAGGUCA
Ictalurus punctatus (channel catfish) is the source of this 402-nucleotide long non-coding RNA. NCBI's taxonomy places the organism in Eukaryota, Metazoa, Chordata, Actinopteri, Siluriformes, Ictaluridae. The record is from Ensembl.